CAAUAGCGUAUAUUAAAGUUGUUGCAGUUAAAAAGCUCGUAGUUGGAUUUCGGAGUGGGCCAGUUGGUCCGCCGCAAGGUGUGUUACUGACUGGUUUGCUCUUCUUCGCAAAGACUGCGUGUGCUCUUUAUUGAGUGUGCGUAGGAUUUACGACGUUUACUUUGAAAAAAUUAGAGUGUUCAAAGCAGGCUAUUGCUUGAAUACAUGAGCAUGGAAUAAUGGAAUAGGAUUUUGGUCCCAUUUUGUUGGUUUCUAGGACCGAAGUAAUGAUUAAGAGGGACAAUUGGGGGCAUCCGUAUUUCGUUGUCAGAGGUGAAAUUCUUGGAUUUACGAAAGACGAACAACUGCGAAAGCACUUGCCAAGAGUGUUUNCAUUA
Molecule: ribosomal RNA, 377 nt
Filed under: uncultured eukaryote
Lineage: Eukaryota
Description: partial 18S ribosomal RNA
Rfam family: Eukaryotic small subunit ribosomal RNA
Source: RNAcentral